GACGAACGCUGGCGGCGUGCUUAACACAUGCAAGUCGAGCGGAAAGGCCCUUCGGGGUACUCGAGCGGCGAACGGGUGAGUAACACGUGAGCAACCUGCCCUGGACUUUGGGAUAACCCUCGGAAACGGGGGCGUAAUACCGGAUAUUACUUCUGCCCGCAUGGGUGGUGGUGGAAAGUUUUUCGGUUCUGGGAGUGGGCGUCGCGGCCUAUCAGCUUGUUGGUGGGGUGAUGGCCUACCAAGGCGACGACGGGUAGCCGGCCUGAGAGGGCGACCGGCCACACUGGGACUGAGACACGGCCCAGACUCCUACGGGAGGCAGCAGUGGGGAAUAUUGCACAAUGGGCGGAAGCCUGAUGCAGCGACGCCGCGUGAGGGAUGACGGCCUCGGUU
Molecule: ribosomal RNA, 393 nt
Filed under: uncultured bacterium
Lineage: Bacteria
Description: bacterial SSU rRNA
Rfam family: Bacterial small subunit ribosomal RNA
Source: RNAcentral